GNUGCUAUCCGGACNACNUUUGGAACCGCAUGGUUCUAAGUGAAAGAUGGUUUUGCUAUCACUUAUAGAUGGACCCGCGCCGUAUUAGCUAGUUGGUAAGGUAACGGCUUACCAAGGCNACGAUACGUAGCCGACCUGAGAGGGUGAUCGGCCACACUGGAACUGAGACACGGUCCAGACUCCUACGGGAGGCAGCAGUAGGGAAUCUUCCGCAAUGGGCGAAAGCCUGACGGAGCAACGCCGCGUGAGUGAUGAAGGGUUUCGGCUCGUAAAACUCUGUUAUUAGGGAAGAACAAAUGUGUAAGUAACUGUGCACAUCUUGACGGUACCUAAUCAGAAAGCCACGGCUAACUACGUGCCAGCAGCCGCGGUAAUACGUAGGUGGCAAGCGUUAUCCGGAAUUAUUGGGCGUAAAGCGCGCGUAGGCGGUUUCUUAAGUCUGAUGUGAAAGCCCACGGCUCAACCGUGGAGGGUCAUUGGAAACUGGNAACUUGAGUGCAGAAAGGAAAGUGGAAUCCAUGUGUAGCGGUGAAUGCGCANANAUNUGGAGAACACAGUGGCGAAGCGACUUCUGUCUGUACUGACGCUAUGUNNAANCGUGGGAUCAACNGAUANAUCCUGGUAGUCNCCCGUAACAUNGNCUAGNGUAGGGGUUCGCCCUUAUGNNCACUACCAUAGNCCCGCGGGAUCACCAGUAACNAAGAUGCGGACCCCACGNGACAGGUUAUCACCCAACUCACUGNNCUGACUAANNCUCUGGNAGNGGNNGUCCCNNCGAUGUACCCCCCUNUUCUAUGCUUUNGACGNGGNCANUCUUGNCGAGAAGNACGCACAU
This 835-nucleotide ribosomal RNA is filed under the name Staphylococcus xylosus. RNAcentral describes it as "partial 16S ribosomal RNA". The stretch from base 1 to 677 matches the Rfam family "Bacterial small subunit ribosomal RNA", at positions 159 to 1533 of the family's 1533-position model. Lineage: Bacteria; Bacillati; Bacillota; Bacilli; Caryophanales; Staphylococcaceae. The record is from RNAcentral.